AUGAUGGCGGAGGCUCCUGCCUUCACUGCAUCGGUGGAUCACACGGAAUCUCUGGGCACAUGGAGCAUUGCCAAAACCAGCGCCAGGGUGGCACUCGGCUCACUCCCGACGUUGGUUCCACACAAACACAUGGGGAGGGGAACUAUAUGUUACAAUCUGAAAAUGGCUAAGGAGACAUCAGAUAAACACAUGGGGAGGGGAACAGAAUGGAGAGCGGGGCGGUUGGCGGGGAAUCCUUGGCGGUCCAUGGGGAAAUACAAUGUGAAGAAGAGAGUGCGACAUGAGGAAGCCCGUAGCAACGCACGGGCGUUCUACUGGACUGACAUAAAGAAGGAGGUCAAUGAAGCAAAAGGCACGAAAAGGAAGGAGCAGCGCCACAGGGACGAUGUUGGGAAGCAGGGAGGAUGUCAUUCGAAACGCCUGGGUCUAGAGGAGUGUGUCCAGGUGGUGGCCGAGGAUGGCAAUGAGCAAUUGGGUUGGGCAUUUGUCAACGUGAUGGCGUCGUUGCUCAAGGGGACGGCUCAUGCCAUCCACUUCCAAAGCAAUAAGUGUCAAAUCAUAGGAACUUUUAUCACAUAUGCUAAUUUAUCCUUGAUGGCAAAUAAUCCGAACAAAAUAUUUGGAAGUAAUGGAGGCCUCGCCAGAGUAAGGGGGAAAAUUGUGGGAGUGGACGCACAUCAUGUAGACUUGAAAGGAGAAAAUAUUGGCAAAAAUUUACAAUCUGAUGAGGAAGCUGCAAGCGAGGUGCGGCUAGGGCGAGCACGCGAGCCAUGGGAUGCUGGGAAGGAAAACCCGUUCACGUGGCUAGCCUGUCCAGUGCACCCAGAUUGUGGGGCCGCACUCAUCCUCGGCCAUGGGACGCAGCUACCGCCGCCGGCAGAAGGCGAGGUCAAAACCGCCGACGGUGCGGAGCCCAUGUUGCAGCAGCCCAGAUGCCAGCUCCGUCCAGCGCUCGCGAUUGGCACGGCAGCGCGGCGUCUUGCUCGCGCGCGCCGCGCUCAGGCCAGCCAUCUGGCUCGAGCGAAGGCCUGCGCGGCGGCUUGCUCACUCGUGAGUCAUGCCUGGGCCAGCCUGCCAACCCGUGCGGAGGCCAGCGCGGCGUCCGGCCCGUCCGGCGGAGCGGCGGCCAACUCGCUCAUCACCGGCGCCACCGACGAACAUGCAUCAGUAUUGUUUGAAGUAAUGUUCAGGAAAAAUAAUGAUUUGAGGGGGAAUAACAGGAUAGAAGGUCAGAUGUGGGUCCCUUGUGUCAACGGUCAAACAAAAUGUGUUGGUUUAAGCUGCCUCGUCAGCACGAACGGAAGGAGCUGGGGCGGGUCCGCAUGUGGGAGAGAUAGAAAGAGGAGAGUGGUGCACAAGGAGACAAAGUGUGCUUGUUUGCAGUGGGGGUGGUGUGUGAGGAUAAACACAUUUGGAAUUUCAUUUGAAUUGGACCGUAUGAUGAGCCCCUCCCCUUCCCCUCCCCGACCCCCCAACCAUGGCAAGCCACCGAAUCUAGUCCUCCACCGCAGUGGCGGACCUCACACCCCGCCGAAUCUACCUUCCGCACAUUGGAACCCCCAACUGCCAACUCACCACUUCACCGGAGCCGCUUCAGCGACUGGCUUGUCCACCGCUCCAGAUCUCCUUGACCGCCAUCAUGGUCCACCGCACCGGAUCUGCUUAACCGGUGCCCUCCACCACAGCGUAGGCCCUUCACUGACUCCCUCGUCCGCCCCUUCGUUGGCCCUUCAUACAAGCCCUCGUCCGACGCAACAGAUCCGCCUCACCGAAAGCACUAUACAACACGCCCGCCGAAGCCUUCGCCCACUGCAUCGGACCUGCUCCACAGACGCCAUUCAACUCCACCGGCCCUGCUUUACCGACGCCGCAGCCUCAUCAGUUGCCAACCCCAUCAAGCAAAAUAUUUGUUCUUUUGGGGCUGGCACCUCGAAGAAGCAUAAAAAUAGAGGGAAGCAGAUAUAUUGUCGUAUUUGCAACCACGUGAUGCUGACGAUAUCUUCAAAGAACAUUGCAACAGCAGCUAGGCUUCACAGCAACAUAUGUUUGCCAUGCUUGGCAAUAAUUCGUCCGUCGUUUACCAUGACACAAUGUACAACCCCAGAAUCUAUUUGUGGAAGCAGUGCAUCAUCCAUGUUACCAGAUGGUAGCAAUUCAGAGGCAACACCACCGGAGAGCAGUCUGAGCACAGAUAUUAUAGUACUUGAGGCUCUACUAGAGGCAGAAAGAGAUGGUGUGGCUGCCAUGAAUGAGGUAAUCUUUAUCUUGAGGCUGGAAAUUAUGGAAUUAGCGGCACACAUUAUGCAAGCAACCCAAGAAUUGGAGGAAGUAAGAAUGUUGCAUUUGAAGACGGAGGAGGUCCUGCUGUUUCUGCUAUCUGAAGCCCAAGGUAAUCCCGGUUCUUCUUUAGAUACUAGUUGA
Molecule: ribosomal RNA, 2421 nt
Filed under: Triticum aestivum (bread wheat)
Lineage: Eukaryota; Viridiplantae; Streptophyta; Magnoliopsida; Poales; Poaceae
Description: partial small subunit ribosomal RNA
Source: RNAcentral